This 29-nucleotide ribosomal RNA is filed under the name Actaea japonica. RNAcentral's name for it is "partial 18S ribosomal RNA". Lineage: Eukaryota; Viridiplantae; Streptophyta; Magnoliopsida; Ranunculales; Ranunculaceae. The record is from RNAcentral.
UUGCGUCCGUGACCUGCGGAAGGUCAUUG